RNAcentral lists this ribosomal RNA (527 nucleotides) under uncultured bacterium. Its description in RNAcentral is "bacterial SSU rRNA". It matches the Rfam family "Bacterial small subunit ribosomal RNA", at positions 984 to 1509 of the family's 1533-position model. The record is from RNAcentral.
ACAUCCAGCGAACUUGGCAGAGAUUGCCUUGGUGCCUUCGGGAACGCUGAGACAGGUGCUGCAUGGCUGUCGUCAGCUCGUGUUGUGAAAUUGUUGGGUUAAGUCCCGNAACGAGCGCAACCCUUAUCCUUUGUUGCCAGCGAUUCGGUCGGGAACUCAAAGGAGACUGCCGGUGAUAAACCGGAGGAAGGUGGGGAUGACGUCAAGUCAUCAUGGCCCUUACGAGUAGGGCUACACACGUGCUACAAUGGCGCAUACAAAGAGAAGCGACCUCGCGAGAGCAAGCGGACCUCAUAAAGUGCGUCGUAGUCCGGAUCGGAGUCUGCAACUCGACUCCGUGAAGUCGGAAUCGCUAGUAAUCGUGGAUCAGAAUGCCACGGUGAAUACGUUCCCGGGCCUUGUACACACCGCCCGUCACACCAUGGGAGUGGGUUGCAAAAGAAGUAGGUAGCUUAACCUUCGGGAGGGCGCUUACCACUUUGUGAUUCAUGACUGGGGUGAAGUCGUAACAAGGUAGGCGUAGCGAG